GUGGUGGGGCCGAUGGUCGCGGUUGGCCGGCUUGAGGGGCCACCCGAGGAAAGUCCGAGCUCCACAGGGCAGACCGCCAGGUAACGCCUGGGCGCCGCGAGGCGACGGAACAGGGCCACAGAGAACAGACCGCCCUUUGUAUCCAAAGGGUAAGGGUGAAACGGUGGGGUAAGAGCCCACCGCGCGCCCGGCAACGGGCGUGGCACGGCAACCCCCGGUCGGAGCAAGGCCAAAUAAGCAGCGAGACCCGGCCCGGGUCGUCUGAGCUGCGGGUAGGCCGCACGAGAUGGCUGGCGACAGCUAUCCCAGAGAGAUGACCAUCUGCUCGUACCAACGAGUAAACAGAACUCGGCUUAUGGUCUCACCACUUCC
RNAcentral lists this RNase P RNA (372 nucleotides) under Chloroflexi bacterium 13_1_40CM_2_68_14. RNAcentral describes it as "RNase P RNA component class A". It matches the Rfam family "Bacterial RNase P class A". Rfam says of the family: Ribonuclease P (RNase P) is a ubiquitous endoribonuclease, found in archaea, bacteria and eukarya as well as chloroplasts and mitochondria. Its best characterised activity is the generation of mature 5'-ends of tRNAs by cleaving the 5'-leader elements of precursor-tRNAs. The record is from RNAcentral. Lineage: Bacteria; Bacillati; Chloroflexota.